GUGCGUGUGUGGUUGGACUAGACUACUUGGCGUGGCAAGGAUAGGAUGUUACGCAGUUCUUAUUUACAACCCAGUGUGCUUUGCCCUGACCCGUGGAAUGUUUUCAUCUCGAUCAGUCAGAAUACCGUCUAACAGUGAAUCUGGGAUGACGAGCAACCACAACACUGCAAAGAUAAACUGGAGCAGAGAGGAGGAUUAUCAUUAGACUGCGGGUUGCCGAGCACCCUGCCAGCUGACCUACCUCACUUCCCCACUUAGAUUGAGAUGUCAUACGGAGGAGCAUGCUGGGAAUUGUGGUCUGUGUUAAAGUGUGUCAGGC
This 319-nucleotide long non-coding RNA is filed under the name Sinocyclocheilus anshuiensis. RNAcentral's name for it is "lncRNA (ENSSANG00000019196.1)". Lineage: Eukaryota; Metazoa; Chordata; Actinopteri; Cypriniformes; Cyprinidae. The record is from RNAcentral.